GGGCCUGUAGUUCAACGGAUAGAACGGUGGUUUCCGGAACCACAGAUCGGGGUUCGAUUCCCUGCGGGCCUA
This 72-nucleotide transfer RNA is filed under the name Roseibacillus sp. Its description in RNAcentral is "tRNA-Arg". It matches the Rfam family "tRNA". From Rfam's summary of the family: Transfer RNA (tRNA) molecules are approximately 80 nucleotides in length. Their secondary structure includes four short double-helical elements and three loops (D, anti-codon, and T loops). Lineage: Bacteria; Pseudomonadati; Verrucomicrobiota; Verrucomicrobiia; Verrucomicrobiales; Verrucomicrobiaceae. RNAcentral also lists the same sequence under 2 other names. The record is from RNAcentral.